AUUGUAUAACAAAAAUUAAUUUAUCUAAAUGUUUACAACAAAAUAUAUCACGAUAAAUGAAAUGAAAAUGAAAAUUAUAAUGAAAUAAAAUUAAUACAUUAAAAUUAGAAAGAAAAAUAAUAAUAAUUAAAAAUCAAAAUGUAAUUAAUAAAUUAUAUUUUGAUCUUACUCAUUGUUUCAUGUUUUCUGUCAUGCCAUGGUUGACACACCCCGUCCCGAAGGAGGGCGUGCUGGCCGUCACGUGAGAGUGACGUAACCAUUUACAUAGUUCGGAAGCUCUUAAAAUACAAUUACUAAAUGGAAACCCCCGAGGGUGAGUCCUACUUUUGUGAAUUCUGUCAGAACACCGUUGGAUUCCUCGUGGCCACCAAAGCUCUGCUAUCUAGGACCUGGAGGGGCGCAAAACAAAAUUGAGUGGGUCAGUAAAACAAAGUUUUUUGAAAACUUUUCAUUUAAAACAUUUCUAACCCCUCGCUGUAAAACCUGUAUACUUUACCAGAAAAUAGCAUAUAUAUAAGAAAAAUCUCAAAUCACAAUCCUUUAACACUUUUCAAAAAAAUAUGCCAUGCCAAGUGUCAAAAACAUAAUCAGAAUGCAUCAAUAUAAAUCAGGUGAAAAUAAAUCAACCGGAGACCCUCAAGUGGUCCUGUACGGCUGAUUCUAAAGCUCAACAUCCAAUCCAACCGGAGUCACCUCGGUGACCUGUACGGUCUAACUCUGCACGUCACUCGGAACUACAUAAGAUAGUUUGUACGAUGACAGGUGUAUAAAUACGCUCUAGUGCUUCUCACAUCAAUCAUCAGCGUGCAUAUCUAAGGUCACCCACCAGUCGGAACCCCUCUAAUGGUCUGUACGACUGGCAUGUCGGAACCCUCACAUGGUCUGUACGACAUCCACCUACUUGGAUCCAAGGCGAGCGUGCGGUGUGGUGAAUAAUAAUAUAAGCACUAACACCUAGGGGCAUGUUAUGAGCUUUCAAUGCAAUUCAUAUAAAAUAACUCAUCUGAAUAAUAAUAAGACUCACAUGUGCGUCCUCCGCGCCAAUUCACAUAUAUAUAUGCAUCAGUUAUCAAUUCACAUAUCACAUAUUAUGCAUGCAUGGCAUUUAAAAACGUAUUUUCAUUCAAACUCAAUUUCUGGGAAAAAUAUCAAUAGUAUAUAGGUAUUAACAGAAAUACUGCCCACUCACCUGGAGUUCGCCCAACAACUCCCUAGCACCGUACAUCAAGGCGUCAUGAAGAUUAGCGCCUAGAACAAUAAACAAAUCCAACCUCAGAAAUCAUGCCGAUAGAAUACAUAACUUAUAUAAGACACGUCACUACGUAGUUCGAUCCAGAUGAUCUGCAACUCAGAUUUCAAAUCCAUAACUUUCAGAGGUCCACAAUAUACCUCUAGGACAAUAUCCUAAAAUUUCAUUACCAUCCAACGGUCGGAUCUCCGUCAAUUUCCAAAACUAAGUGACGGUUAACAUUCUAUUUUAUGAACUUACAACUCCAAUUCCGGAAGAUCCGUAAAUCGGAUUCCCAAUCCGUAAGUUCCUAUAAUCCUCAAAUAUUACGUAUUACAACGUAUCAAAGUUUGGUGACGAUCCAACGGUCGGAUCGUCAAUUCAUAUUUUCAUCUAACCACGAAUCGUAACCAACUUAGGUUCAAUUAUUCAAUUUACAUCCCUCAAUUAUCAAAACUGAACCUAGAACCUUAAACACAUGCUAAUAAUGACAUUGGCGGGCCAUUGGACACGCGCCGCCGCGGGUGGCGGUUGGCCGCCCCGGCUCGCCGGAAAAUUCAACUAUUUCGAAAAAUUACCAAAAUUUGCAGAUUUGAAGAUCUCAAUGAGUAGAACAACUUUCAUACCUGUGUCCAAGGCCAAUUUGGCCUGGAAGUGCUUCAAUUUCACCAAAACCGUGAAGAACCCUAGAAUUGGGUGUUUCCAAUUCGACCUUCAAAAUUGUUCCAACGCCUCUACUACCUCUUGGGAUUUGUUCUAGGUCCUAAAGGAAUGUUAAUGGUGUUAGUAAUUGAAAGAAAACAUUUCAAAAUUUGAAGAAUUUAGACAAAAAAGUCGCGGCACCCGUAGGGGUGUUCUUCGCGAAAUCACCACGAAAUUCAAUGAUUCUUGGGGUGAAACGUGAAGAGGGAAGGUCUAGAUGUUGAUUGGGAGUGGUACCUUGAUUCAAUUCGUCGGAAAAUUGGACGAAAAAGGCGAGAACCCGCCGAUUUGGAAGCAUGGGACGCGCGGGUCAAGGGUGACCCGUUUCCUCCUGUUCCCCCGUUCACCACUCUCCCUCCUUUCCCUCCUUUCCUUCCUCUGGUUGGUCAGUUUCUCCCUCUCUCUUCUUCUGAUUCGCCUCUCCUACUUCUUCUCCGAUUGGGCAGUUUUGCC
RNAcentral lists this long non-coding RNA (2383 nucleotides) under Malus domestica (apple). RNAcentral's name for it is "long non-coding RNA (MDOM_LNC003562)". Lineage: Eukaryota; Viridiplantae; Streptophyta; Magnoliopsida; Rosales; Rosaceae. The record is from RNAcentral.